GUGCCGCGGCUGCACCCAUGGGAGCGCAGGGAUGGGACCCCCAAAUCCCCGCUGCCAGAGCCCCCCCCGUGGUGCCAGGAGGGUUUGAUGCAAAGCUCGGUGUCGGGACCUUGGAGCCUGCUGCCUGUCCUCAGUUUCCCCAUCCCGCAGCGGUGGCCGGAGCGAGGGUCCCUUGGGUGCCCCGGCACAAGGCGCUGGUGGUCGGUGGCCACCGGUGCCGGGGAACCUCCCGGAGAGCAAAACCUGCUGGCACGCGGCUCCUUCACCUGCUGCGUGCUCCCACAGGUCCCCAGCCGAGGACGAGCCCCUCUGCGUCCUCACAGCGGGGAUUUGGGGCUGGAGCAGGCGUUGGGAGCAGGUUUGCUUCUUGCUUCCUCCCCUGCGAGCCCUGACUGCGACCUGGCCCCGGCUGGGUGCAAAGGGCCGGGGGAGAUGCGUGGAGGCGCAGGCUGGGUGCGCUGUGGCGCAGGAUUCCCUCCUGCCCUGCUGGCACUCGGGGAAAAAUCCUUGCCCCCAGCACCCAGGGGACGGAGGAGCCGGGUGCGUGCCCCGCCAAGAUGAGCACCGAGCCGAGGGGUUGGGUGCGGGGCAGCCCCCCCAAAAUCCCCAUCCCUGAUGGAGGGGGACCUCUGGAGGAGCUGACCCCUCGCCGGCACACCGAGCAGUGCCGGUGCCGUGCCGAGCCCGGCCCCGGCACUGAGCGGGGCAUGGACGGCCCCGAAAUCUUCCUGGGCCCCUGCGAGGGAGCCCUCUGCGGGGUCCCGGGGCAGAAGCGCCGCUGCAUGUCGGCCCUGGAGCCCGUCACUGUGCCCAGCCCCAAAUCCGAGGCCAGCUGGGGCGAGGAGGAGGAGGAAGAGGAGGAAGAUGAAGAGGAUGAAGAGCGGUCCCGGGGGGUGCCGCUGCGGCGAGCCUGUGCCCUGCGGACCUCGAUGCGCAGCCGGGACCCGUUCCGACGGCACAGCUGGGAGCCGGGCAAGGAGCUGCGCGGGGUCCCCGGCUACGACCAGCUCAGCGUGAGCCUCAAGGGGCUGAGCCCCGACGACAUCGACUCCAGCACGGAGCAGCUGGACGGGCUGGGGAGACGCCGGUGGGACCCCCGGAGAGCCCCCCUGAUCCACAGCACCGAGUCCCUGCUGUCCCUGGACGAGGAGGACGAGGCCGAUCUGCAGCGGGCGCAGGAGGACGCGCGGAGGCUUCAGGUGUACGGGGCCAGGAGCGCCGGCGGCUGCGCCCUCGCCAAAUCCGCGUCCCUCAGCGUCAUCGACAGCUUCCCCCCCGCCGUGGGUGAGUGCCAGCGCCCGCAGGG
RNAcentral lists this long non-coding RNA (1306 nucleotides) under Anas platyrhynchos platyrhynchos (common mallard). Its description in RNAcentral is "lncRNA (ENSAPLG00000028331.1)". The record is from RNAcentral. Lineage: Eukaryota; Metazoa; Chordata; Aves; Anseriformes; Anatidae.